UAGAAAUAUCCGUAGUCGAAUAUUCACUGACGUCAGAGUCAGGAAUAUUACACAUAAACAAUCAUAGUAUAAACAAAAAAAAAUAUUAGCAAUUAAUGAUUUAAAUUUAUUUACUUUGAUACCUACGCAAUAUUUACCAACGUCAGAGUUGGAAAUAUCCGUAGUUGAAUAUUCACUGGCGCCAGAGUCAGGAAUAUUACACACAAACAAUCAUAAUAUAAACCAACAAAAAAAAUAUUGGCAAUUAAAGACAAAGAGUAGCAAUGUAGCCUGUCUUAGGUAGGACGUUUAAGGGGUGAUGAUAUCUUCCCUUUUACUUAAUCAGUCUCGAACCAUAGAAUCUCUAUUGACCAGUUAGGGUUCCUAGUAACCAUAAUACUAGGUGGCGACUCCUUAAACAAAGACCAUUCCCCCAUCAAAGAAUAGGAUGUCAGAAAUCCAUUCUUUUCAUUCCAUUAAAAAUUUUAAGGCCGUUGCGAUGUCGGGUGCGACACCAACACUCUACCCUUCAAGGAGAAUUAGAAAAACACAGGAAUGCUGCUCUUGAAGGAAACGAAACUCAUUACGGUGCUUCGAAAGGCAAGGUAAUAUCACCCCCCACAUUUGAUCCGAGAAAAUCGAGGACGCUACAUCUGGUCUGCGUGAAAGCUUUGCAACACCAGGGAAACAAGGAGCUCCAAGCAAAUUGUACUUUGAAGUACUGUCUCAACAGUAGAAAGACUCGCUGCAGCAGGCCCAACUGAUAACUGCAUGAAGAUCCGUUGAUGCUUGACAAGAUCGCAUCCUUGCUCUCGUUCCCCCACAAAGAUGAAAUAUCUGUUGUGCUGUUUUACGUUGUUUCUGUUCUGAUGUUGAUCAUUCAGCUGGUUUUUAGAUUUGACCGUGUAGAUCUGGUCGGUCCAGGAAUUGCAACUACGUCCAUACGAGGAAAAUAAACAUUUUUUUUUAAUUUUACCUGUAGAGAUAAAUAGUGCAUCUUUUCUGAUUUGAUCAAAUGAUUGGUAAAAUGGACAGGGAAAUUUCGGUUCCUGUUUCAUCUAACAAGUAACAGCUGCAAUUUAGUCUGGUUUAUCAGAUAUAUUUUUGUCGUCUACUUCCAUUUUGAUUGCUGUUCUAAUACAUGUUCCAUGACCUUUGAUUUUGAUUUUGGGGGUAUGGAUCAUGUCCCAUGAUCUUUGGUUCGAGGAUAUUUAUCCAAUUUGGCAAAUACAAUAAAUCUGAGAGAAAUGAGUGUUCAAACUGACCCAACAUGGUCUGGUAAUCAACUUGAAGAUGUUGUUCAACUUGAAGAUUUUGUUGCUUGUUUAUGUAAACACAAUUUAGCUUUAGGAUGACUGCGGUAAUAACUCUGAAGCAUGUAAGCAGGUCAUGUUCGUUCAAUUUUCAUCUCCCUUCCAACCAUACUUGUGGGCCUAGAAAAAUAUUAUAGAAGGAAACAGCUCCGAGCCGAGGAAGCUUGUACAAAUGAAAGGGCAUAUAGGAAACCCCCAAGCCUGGUGCAGCCAAGCGACAGCAUUGUGAGGUAGCCUGCUACAACGAAGCAGCAAGAUCUGCUUUGCAAUUAGCCUCUUCCUUAGUAGCCAAGCGAUCAGCUGAGCUGGGCUUCUCCAAGGGCCGUAGGCAACACCAGCAUUGCGAAUUCAUCUGGUGAAGAAAAAACCCUCCUGGAAGCAUCUUAUUUUUCCUCAUUGCGGGGUCCAGUAAAAUGUGUAAUAAUAAAUAUUAAAAUUUGGCAGGGUAUAUCCUCAAAUGACCACAAGACUCCUUCGGGUUAGUUUGAGGUGUACUGUCUUCGCCAUCGCAUUGUUGCAUUCUCGUUUCUGUCUACAACUGGGAAAGAGGGACUAAACAAAGACAAGUAGAAAUGGUUCGUGGGGAUAGUAUUUCUUGCAGGAGAACAUAAGGAAGAGAACUACAAGGCGGAGCUCUUGGUUUACAAAGAUGAGGAUGUUUUAUUUUGAGGAAAAAGGCGCCUUACAUGCAAGUUUUCCCUAACAAAAAUCCAUUAUCCAAUCAUCGAAGACUACCUACAUGCCGCAACUUGCUCACCAUGAUUACAUGUCUUUCGAUCAGAAGAACAAUGCUCACUGAUUUGGGUACAAAGGGUGAAAUAUUUA
This is a long non-coding RNA of Populus euphratica (Euphrates poplar), 2117 nucleotides long. RefSeq lists it as uncharacterized. The transcript has 2 exons. The record is from RefSeq and is a predicted model, not a curated record. Lineage: Eukaryota; Viridiplantae; Streptophyta; Magnoliopsida; Malpighiales; Salicaceae.